This 415-nucleotide ribosomal RNA is filed under the name Philautus neelanethrus (blue-eyed yellow bush frog). RNAcentral describes it as "partial 12S ribosomal RNA". It matches the Rfam family "Bacterial small subunit ribosomal RNA", at positions 774 to 1406 of the family's 1533-position model. The record is from RNAcentral. Lineage: Eukaryota; Metazoa; Chordata; Amphibia; Anura; Rhacophoridae.
GGGAUUAGAUACCCCACUAUGCCAACCAUAAAAAAUCCACUNACACUCAAAGCGCCAGAGUAUUACGAGCUUUAGCUUAAAACUCAAAGGACUUGACGGUAUCCUAACCAACUAGAGGAGCCUGUUAUAUAAUCGAUAACCCACGAUAUACCUAACCAUUUCUUGCUUUCAGCCUGUAUACCUCCGUCGUAAGCUUACCAUUUGAAUGUAUAUAGUAACGCUUAAGGGCCAUGCGCCAAAACGUCAGGUCAAGGUGCAGCUCAUGAAAUGGAACUAAUGGGCUACAAUUUCUAACCUAGAACAAACGAAACACUAAAUGAAACAUAGUUUGAAGGAGGAUCUAGUAGUAAAUAAGAAAUAAUGAGUCUUAUUAAAUUCGGCCCUAGGAUGUGUACACACCGCCCGUCACCCUCUG